This 483-nucleotide ribosomal RNA is filed under the name uncultured bacterium. Its description in RNAcentral is "partial 16S ribosomal RNA". It matches the Rfam family "Bacterial small subunit ribosomal RNA", at positions 30 to 507 of the family's 1533-position model. The record is from RNAcentral.
UUGAACGCUGGCGGCAGGCCUAACACAUGCAAGUCGAGCGGAUGAAGGGAGCUUGCUCCUGGAUUCAGCGGCGGACGGGUGAGUAAUGCCUAGGAAUCUGCCUGGUAGUGGGGGAUAACGUCCGGAAACGGGCGCUAAUACCGCAUACGUCCUGAGGGAGAAAGUGGGGGAUCUUCGGACCUCACGCUAUCAGAUGAGCCUAGGUCGGAUUAGCUAGUUGGUGGGGUAAAGGCCUACCAAGGCGACGAUCCGUAACUGGUCUGAGAGGAUGAUCAGUCACACGGGAACUGAGACACGGUCCAGACUCCUACGGGGGGCAGCAGGGGGGAAUAUUGGACAAAGGGCGAAGGCCUGACCCAGCCAUGCCGGGUGUGUGAAGAAGGUCUUCGGAUUGUAAAGCACUUUAAUUUGGGAGGAAGGGCAGUAAGUUAUUACCUUGCUUUUUGGACUUUACCAAAAGAAAAAGCCCCGGCUAACUUCGUC